This 488-nucleotide ribosomal RNA is filed under the name uncultured bacterium. RNAcentral's name for it is "partial 16S ribosomal RNA". It matches the Rfam family "Bacterial small subunit ribosomal RNA", at positions 30 to 507 of the family's 1533-position model. The record is from RNAcentral.
UGAACGCUGGCGGCAGGCCUAACACAUGCAAGUCGAACGGUAACAGGAAGCAGCUUGCUGCUUCGCUGACGAGUGGCGGACGGGUGAGUAAUGUCUGGGAAGCUGCCUGAUGGAGGGGGAUAACUACUGGAAACGGUAGCUAAUACCGCAUAAUGUCGCAAGACCAAAGAAGGGGACCUUCGGGCCUCUUGCCAUCGGAUGUGCCCAGAUGGGAUUAGCUUGUUGGUGGGGUAACGGCUCACCAAGGCGACGAUCCCUAGCUGGUCUGAGAGGAUGACCAGCCACACUGGAACUGAGACACGGUCCAGACUCCUACGGGAGGCAGCAGUGGGGAAUAUUGCACAAUGGGCGCAAGCCUGAUGCAGCCAUGCCGCGUGUAUGAAGAAGGCCUUCGGGUUGUAAAGUACUUUCAGCGGGGAGGAAGGGAGUAAAGUUAAUACCUUUGCUCAUUGACGUUACCCGCAGAAGAAGCACCGGCUAACUCCGUG